Molecule: unclassified non-coding RNA, 253 nt
Filed under: uncultured Chlamydiales bacterium
Lineage: Bacteria; Pseudomonadati; Chlamydiota; Chlamydiia; Chlamydiales
Description: contains 16S-23S intergenic spacer region
Rfam family: Bacterial small subunit ribosomal RNA
Source: RNAcentral
UACGGAGGGUGCAAGCAUUAAUCGGAUUUGCUGGGCGUAAAGGGCGCGUAGGCGGAUUGGAAAGUCAGAUGUGAAAUUUCGGUGCUCAACACCGAAGCUGCAUUUGAAACUGUUAAUCUUGAGGAUGGACGGAGAAAACGGAAUUCCACGUGUAGCGGUGAAAUGCGUAGAUAUGUGGAAGAACACCUGUGGCGAAAGCGGUUUUCUAGUUUAUUCCUGACGCUGAGGCGCGAGAGCAAGGGUAGCAAACAGG